GAAGGCUCCGGGCGUCCUGACAGCCGGGUCCCCGCGGACCGUGACCACAGAGGGGAGACUCCCAUCGGGGGCAGCUCCACAAGUCCUGCCCUGUCUCCCACAGCCCCCUCGAGGCUCCACCGCGUCCUUUCCGCGGGACCUGUCUAGGAAGGGGCCUGGGGACCCGAAGGAGUCCGGGAUCAGAGUGAGAGGCGCUGGCACUGGAGUAGGAAGCUCGGCUGCUGCUGUUACUGCUCCCUCUUGGGCUUCGGCGAGAACCUUUGCUUGUCAAGCAAGAGGGGUGAGGAUCAUAUUUUCUUUAUUUUGGAAAGUAAAAAGUGCUCCCAGGGUCGGUGAUUAUUAAGGGGAAAUCCCUGAAUAUACUCUCAAGCCAAGAAGGCAGGGCUGCCGGGCUGCACAAGAAGAAGCACCAGCCUCCUACAGCACCACUACAGGCACUGCGAGGACAUAACACCAGAGAGCGGCUCCUCUGCCCUCCGAAACGACAACUUUCCUACCAUCUUGGAGCAGCAGAGGGGGCCGGGGGAAAAAGUGCACUCGCUCCCGAGAAAGUACAAAUUUCUUCUCAUCUCUGGAAAAAAGUCCACACUGGCCGUCUACACCGGCGCCUGAGGGGACCGGCAGCAAAGAAUCUGGGGGUGUAUGAGCCACGUUUUCAUUUGUUCCAGGGGAAAAAAUGUUUCUGCGUCUUCUGAUGGAAAGAAAUCUUUACAGGACACAGGUUUUCCGUUAGGAAGGUUAUCUUUCCUGUCAGAGAGGAUGAGCCUUCUUGGCCUCAAAGCUAUCCAACAAGAUUCUAAAUUCUCCUGCUUGGUAGUUUCCAAGGCCUCACCACUGCCACCAUGAGGGAUCCAGUCUCCACCACAUGCUCAUGCCCUCACCUCAGGCCCACAGCAGUGGAAUCAACCAUGGACUGAAAAACUCUGAGCCCAAAUACACCUUUCCUCCUGCAAGUUUUAGGCUCAGGUAUUUUGUCCCUGUGAUGAAAAAGCUGGCAACACAUUGUCUCUGAAGUCCUCAGAUGCCAACAUGAGUCCACAGUGACCUAUUCUUACUUUAAUGCUUUGAGUUGUUUUCCAGGGUUCUUUGGUUUGCUUUUAGUUUUGUUUCUUCACAUAUGCAGGAGGGGCUGGAGUGGCUAAGAGCCUAGCUAGUAAAGCCAAGAUCCUCUAGUUUAGAAAUGGGGCUCCUGGGCUGGGGAUCAGGCUCAGCAGCACAGGGCCUGCCCAGCAAACAUGAGGCGCUGAGUUCAAUUCCCGGUCAAAAAAAAAAA
This is a long non-coding RNA of Fukomys damarensis (Damara mole-rat), 1273 nucleotides long. RefSeq lists it as uncharacterized. The transcript is spliced from 4 exons. Lineage: Eukaryota; Metazoa; Chordata; Mammalia; Rodentia; Bathyergidae. The record is from RefSeq and is a predicted model, not a curated record.